This 64-nucleotide transfer RNA is filed under the name Achatinella fulgens. RNAcentral's name for it is "tRNA-Arg". The record is from RNAcentral. Lineage: Eukaryota; Metazoa; Mollusca; Gastropoda; Stylommatophora; Achatinellidae.
AAAAAUGAAAAAAAAAUUAAGUUUCGGCCUUAAUAACUUUGAAAAUCAAAAUCAAACAUUUUUA